This 86-nucleotide transfer RNA is filed under the name Thermoplasmata archaeon. RNAcentral describes it as "tRNA-Ser". It matches the Rfam family "tRNA". From Rfam's summary of the family: Transfer RNA (tRNA) molecules are approximately 80 nucleotides in length. Their secondary structure includes four short double-helical elements and three loops (D, anti-codon, and T loops). RNAcentral also lists the same sequence under 1 other name. The record is from RNAcentral. Lineage: Archaea; Methanobacteriati; Thermoplasmatota; Thermoplasmata.
GCGGGGAUGGCCUAGCCGGGUAGGGCGGUGGGUUGCUAACCCACUGGCGCAUUUGUGCCGCGGGAGUUCAAAUCUCCCUCCCCGCG